GCCAGGCAUGGUGGUGUGUGCCUGUAGUCCCAGCUACUCAGGAGGCUGAGGUGGGAGGAUCGCUUGAGCCCAGGAGUUCUGCACUGUAGUGUACUAUGCCAAUCGGGUGUCCGCACUAAGUUCGGCCUCAAUAUGGUGACUUCCUGGGAGCAGGGGACCACCAGGUUACCUUAGGAGGGGUGAACAGGCCCAGGUCAGAAAUGGAGCAGGUCAAAACUCCCAUGCUGAUCAGUAGUGGGAUCGUGCCUGUGAAUAGCCACGGCACUCCAGCCUGGGCAACACAGCGAGAUCCCGUCUCU
Molecule: signal recognition particle RNA, 299 nt
Filed under: Cebus imitator (Panamanian white-faced capuchin)
Lineage: Eukaryota; Metazoa; Chordata; Mammalia; Primates; Cebidae
Description: Metazoan signal recognition particle RNA (ENSCCAG00000013953.1)
Rfam family: Metazoan signal recognition particle RNA
About the family: The signal recognition particle (SRP) is a universally conserved ribonucleoprotein. It is involved in the co-translational targeting of proteins to membranes. The eukaryotic SRP consists of a 300-nucleotide 7S RNA and six proteins: SRPs 72, 68, 54, 19, 14, and 9.
Source: RNAcentral